UCACUCGCAGCUUAGUGGCAGAGCAUUGGUGCAUAAAACCAAAGGUCCCGGGUUCGAUUCCCGGCGGGGGUG
Molecule: non-coding RNA, 72 nt
Organism: Agrilus planipennis (emerald ash borer)
Lineage: Eukaryota; Metazoa; Arthropoda; Insecta; Coleoptera; Buprestidae
Source: Rfam